Molecule: RNA transcript, 4271 nt
Organism: Ziziphus jujuba (common jujube)
Lineage: Eukaryota; Viridiplantae; Streptophyta; Magnoliopsida; Rosales; Rhamnaceae
Gene name: inositol-pentakisphosphate 2-kinase
Exons: 10
Source: RefSeq, a predicted model, not a curated record
CACAUAAAAAAAGUAACGGCUAACGAAGUGUUCUACGCGGAAUCGCAUUUCCCGAAACGAAGUCCUCCUCUUUUCUCCGAAAAAGUACGAAGGCAUUCUUCUUCGGUCUCUCAAUCACCAAGUCUUGAGUGUGAGACUCCCAAAAAAUAAUAAUAAUAAUAAUAAGAUUCCUACUGUCACUCUCGGAGACCGCGAAGAUUCCAUUAGAUGGAGGACAUUCUAGAGCAAAAGGACGCUGCUGAUUGGGUUUACAGAGGGGAAGGGGGUGCUAAUCUUGUUCUCGCUUACACUGGAUCCUCUCCUGCUUAUAUUGGGAAAGUUAUUCGGAUAAGGAAGGCACUGAGGAAUGGAUCGCUGACCGCAAAGAGGCCCGCAGCUUUAACCAUGCAUGAACGCCGUUUGUGGAAAGACUUGGAAGACAUUGUAUCCUCUCCUAACAGAGAACUUGUAUCCCAAAUGUUUGUGCGGAAUGUAAUGAGCCCAUUAUUGGGUUCUAAAUAUGUUGAUGCUGGGAGACGUGUCCUUGUCUCAAGGCAAUUCUUGGAGUCGGUAGAGAAAAAUGUCAUUUGCCAGCGUCCUGUUUGGCGUGUUGAUGCUGCCAAAGUUGAUACAAGUUCUGAUUCCGUGCUUCUACUAUCUGAUCAUUCUCUGUUUUCUCAUGGUAUUUGUGAAGGUGAGCCCUGCAUAUCUGUAGAGAUAAAGCCCAAAUGUGGAUUUAUUCCGGUCUCAAAAUUCAUAGAUGAAGGAAAAGCCAUCAAACGAAGUAUAACUCGUUUCAGGAUGCACCAAGCCCUUAAAUUACACCAAGAAGAGAUAUUAGAAUGUAGUAAAUAUGAUCCUAUUGAUCUGUUCUCUCAAUCCAAGGACAGAAUACAUAAAGCCAUCAUGGAUCUCUUCACCACCCCUCAGAACAAUUUUCGUGUAUUUUUGAAUGGUUCUCUAAUAUUUGGGGCCUUGGGUGGUACUGCAAGCACUACCAAUUUUAAGAUUGGAGAAGCCUUUGAAGAUGCACUCAAGGAUGUCAUUUUGGGGGAUCAUGGCCUGCGCACCAGGAGUUUUCUACAGCUUAUUGCUGAGACAGUUUACAAAUCUGGAAUAAUGUCUAGGCUUCUUGAAGUCCAAAAACUUGAUACUCUUGACAUAGAGGGGGCAAUUCAUGCAUAUUAUAACAUUAUCUCUGAGCCUUGCACGGUAUGCAGAGAAUUGGGAGAAGAAAAAGCAUUGGACAGAUAUAAGUCUUUGCACUCUGUUCCCUUGGAUGAAAGCUUGAAGAUUGUGAGGGACUUUCAAAUUGCUACAACUGCGAAGGACUGUAGUUUGCUGAUUAGUUUUAGACGAAGAAAAGAUGGAAAUUCAGGAUCUUCAUAUAAUAGCAUGUAUUUGGAAUCAACUAACCAAACGUUUGAUUACAAGAUAUCUUUCAUUGAUCUGGAUUUGAAACCUGUAAAGAAGAUGGAAGCAUAUUAUGAACUAGACAAUAAGAUUGUGAGCUCCUACACUAAGAUGAUGGAAGCAGAGGAACGAGAAGGUAAAGUUACAAGUAUGGAAGUUUAUAAUGCAUUUUGAGUUUGAAGACAAUGCCAUGGAGCAUGCUUGCUGAAGAUCUAGUUGGGGCAGACCAGAAAUAGGUAUCCUUUGUUUAUGUAAAUGGUUUUCGUUUUUGUUCCUUUGUAAUUUAACCAAUUUAUGGGGCACUGUUCUUCCUCUUAUCUUUUUUUCUCUUUAACAGGCCACAUGCCAUAUUUGGUUUGAGUGCUGGUAUAUAGACAGUUAUCAAAAGCGGUCUAUCCUAUUUCUGUAACCCUUUAUAAUGUAUUAUGGGAUAUCAUGGAAGUUAGUUAUGACAAUAUGCUUCAUUUUAUUGAUAUUGUGCUAAAACUUUUUAUAUAUGUGAUGGAUCUGAGGACAUGUUGCAUUUUCUAUCUCAUAAGUCAUUUUUUUUUUUUUUUAAAUUAACUUCUUGUUAGGAAGCAAAUAAAUUAAUGUAACCUUAAUUAUGCAUAUUUUGUUAGUGCAUUUAUGCAUUAACUACAUAUGGUAAUUAAAUAGGUGUCCUAUCUGGCUAUUAGAUUAAUGGAAAUCAAUGAGAGAAGGGGAGAAAAUGAUGGAACACUUGGGGUUUUACUAGACAGUGAUGUAUCAACUACUUCACUGUGAAUCCAUCCCAUGCCCACAUGGCCUAUUUAUUUAUACAGCUAGCUGGUUUUCAAUUAAACAUGGUACUUGUUCAGGGGAAGAGAAAUAUUAAUCAGGGUAUUGGACAACUGAGUAUUUUUGCCUCGCAUUGAUGAAAAUUGUCAUCGGUAGACAUGAUUUUUAACUUUAGGAACUGUUAACUGAACAACUCUCCCUUGGAUUUAUUUUGGUAUGUGGCAAGGAAAUAUCAUCAUUAAGUUAUUAUAAGUUUGAGAACUAUGUAACUAGUAUACUAAAUUGAACUCUAUACGGAAAGGCUAUCAUAAAUUAUCCAGAGGCUAAAAUAUAUAGACUGGAAGAUUUACUUAUUUUGCCCUUCCUAAUUUUCAAAUUAGAGUUUUAGCUUAUUUUGCCCUUCCUAAUUUUCAAAUUAGAGUUUUAGUUCUUUUAUGUUACUGGAGAAACCUUUACACCACCGUCUGUGCUGGCACUGGUGUCCAUGGUUUCCUUAGUCGUAGUCUGUAUCAACACUAGAUUUUAACUUUCAGCCUAGUGAUUUUAAUGCUCAACCUCGUUCUAGGGCCUGGUUUGUUGCCAUACAUCAACAAUUCUUUGAGUUCAGAUCUACAAUAGUCGGCUGUUUCGUAGUAGCAUGGUAAUAAAAGUGCCUUGAAGAAGUUUUUUAAUUGUUGAAGGUUUGGUGCUUUCUGUUGCUAAGUUUACAUGCCCUAUGGUUUAAAGAAUUUCGGUGUUUCUGGUUUGCAUUUUACAUGUACAAAGCUCUUGCUAAUUGUACUUUCAAACUUAUUUAGUGCAAGGGCAUUAGUGAAUGAUCUUGGAAGUAAUAUUCCUACAUUUUGCGUAUGCAUUGAGUUUGUAAGACUUGUGAUAUUAUUUUUCUUCCUUGAUUAUAUCUGUCAUUUAAUGUUUCAAAUAGUUAUGUACAUAUCAACUAAACUGAUUUAAGUUUUGAGCAGCAAGACAUUGGAUUUUCUACUUGGGUUGUGGGAAUUUUUUUUUUUUUUUUUUUUUUUUUAAAAAAAAGAAAAAAAAACGAAGGCAUAAGGGCUAUUGGAGAAAUUUGGGGAUUACAUGUUUGUGACUUUAUGGCUAAAAAUGAAAACGUUUAAUGAGCAUAUACUGCUGAAGAAUCAUUGAGCUGAUUCUGGAGUGCCUCUGUACAUCAGAAGCUGCAGGAAAUGCAUAUGGCUUUCCGCAUUAUUGCUGAGCUAUUUUGGUAUUUUUUUUCACUAUAGUAGAACACUUGUAUGGUAUUAGAUGAUCAGCUACCACUUGGUUGGACGAUGUGCCCAACAAUGAGCUCCUGAACUGCUAAAAAGUCUCUCUCUCUCUCUCUCAAAAAGAGGAUCUAUUUAAACCGAGUUGAUGGUUAGGAAAGGACAAAAAGGGUAUUUAAAUAGAUUGCUGUUGUGGGUCAAGUGUGCCCAUUCACAGAGCCCACUGAAGGGCAUUUAUUAGUUCAUACCCAAUUAACUUAGACAUUGUGUAAUUUGAGGUCUGUCAUAAUUUUAUACAGACAGCCUAGUCUAAAGCCAAAGAAAAAUUGGACAGCCAUAGUGAAGUUAGACAGCCACCAGUUGCCCUUGUAGAAAUAUCCUAUAUUUAUAGUGGUUAAAUAUUUUCAUGUAAAAUCUUUUUCUCUAUGUAGCAUGUUAAACUGAGAAGUGUACAAUUUAAAAUGUUUUUUUUUACUGAUGUUUGAAUCUUCAUUCAGAUGGGUAAAAAAAGAUAAGGUACCCACUUUGUGGAGUUAUGUCUUAGCCUUAAAAGUCUUGGGGUGCAUUAAUUGCACAUUGGAAGGCAUAGGUGAUCCAAUCAAGAACCUUCUGACUGGCAUUUACUUCUAUCCAACUACUAACACUGUCACUCCCUUUAGUCUUGAACCUAACUUCUCUGCCCUUGAGCAUGAGAAAAAGAAUGCGCAAGUACUUGCCAAGAACCUAACUUGAUGAAAUUAAGGGUUAUAGCAUUUCAUAUAUUGCAACUCUAGAUUCAUCCGCAUUUUCAUUGUUAGCUUGAUCCAGUUUACUUUCUGUGAGUUUUUCUUUAGUGUUGUACUUCACCAAGAUCAUGUCCAAGAAAACUGUAGUGUCAGUGGAACUUCUCUGCUCAAA